Long non-coding RNA from Dromaius novaehollandiae (emu), 6264 nucleotides. RefSeq lists it as uncharacterized. The transcript has 12 exons. NCBI's taxonomy places the organism in Eukaryota, Metazoa, Chordata, Aves, Casuariiformes, Dromaiidae. The record is from RefSeq and is a predicted model, not a curated record.
ACCCACAGAAGCCUGGAGGUAUAUUUAACUCUGCAAUAUCUGUAGCAAGCAGAGGUUUUCAUGUUUUUUAAGAUGACCAAAAAUAAGGUUUAGCUUCUAUUGAUUUUCAUUAAGAUUUACAUACCAACUAACAUGACACUCCCAUCCAGGAACUUUUUAGUUUAUUUUUGUGGUUUUUAAGUUACUGACUUUCAAUGUUUCCUUCUUUAGUACCUGAAGGAAAAGGAAUGUGUUAUCUUGGAACAACAUUCUCUGAAAGGAACCGAAUACGAAACACAAUACAGUGUUGGAAAUGGAAAAGCAGAGCCUUCUUUUAUCAUAUUGCAGGACAUGUUUACUACUAAAUCUGUUAGAAAAUAAUUUAAAAACCUGAAGUCAGAUUUUCAGCUGUGCAGAACUCUGCCUGAGAGGAAUGACGAGGAUAAAAAUAUGGCUCUGUCAUCUGCUGCUGCCUGAUCUCUACACUUCCCUGAGCAUAAUUCUAACUUAAACUCUGCUCUUGCUCACUGCAGAGUGGACUAGCCAUAUUAAUGCUGAUGUUAUCAUUAUUUCCAGUUCCAGAAUUGCUUUAUAAGCCAGUUAAGGUGUUAAAGAUACUAAAAUGCAGAUUAAAUGCUUCAGUAAUAUAAUGCAGUCAGUUGCUCUUGUUGCUAAAGUGGAGUAUAAUGUAUUGCAGAAAGGAGUAAGAGACACUCCAGGAGAGUAUUUCCUUGUGAAGCUCUGGUGUGCCAAAUUAUGAAAAAAAGACCCGAGAACCAUUUAUUUCUCGUAAUACUGCAUUUGCUGAUCUCUUUUAUCACCAAUUAGCAAAAUUAUAUUUGUCCCUUUAGCCUUAAGUAAAUGGUUCAACAUUAUCUGCAUUCCUUAUUUGCUACAAAAUAUCCCAGAUUCAGAACAAGAGAUGUGUAUCAUACGUAAGUUGGAAUAUGUAUCUGUAAUCUACCCAAAGUUGAGACUGUCUCUAUAUCUUCAUAGAUGGAACUUCAGAAAGAAGUAAAUCAGUUCCUUUCAUCCCUGCGAACACAGGAUAUAAGGAUAGCAAGAAUAUCUGGGAACUCCAGUUGAUUUACCUGCUUCACAAACUCAUUAAAUACAGCACACAACAAUCAGCAGUCCCAAAGCUGGAGACAUCCAAGGUUAAAAUGACAGAAACAUAUGAAACUGGGCUUGCUACAUUCUGCUAGUGAACAGAGUGCAGUGCCUACACCAGUCAUCGUUUUACUAUUACCUAUUUCUUUGCAAGAAUGCUAAAAUUCAUCAACAUAUAUCAAUGAUGGAAAAUAUUUAAAGCUAUAAGUUAUGAAGCUGCUGAUGAGCACAACCUGACGCAGGUGGUGGCUGAUUCCUGUGGGUUGCCUUUCGCAGCCAAGAAGCUGUUGACCAUUUCUAUACGCCAGGAAACACAGCUGUCUGUAAAGAUCAAGUAGCUAGACCCAAACACGCUCAGGUGUGAAUUCAUCCUCCCGUGACAAUUAAGAAUGAUGCUAACUGGAAAAGGAUGCUUAAUUCUAACUGUUAAGUGAGCUGAACCAGAAGCAGCCUGGAAGAGACAGAGGAUUAAAAUAGUGAAAGUUAAAUGUGCCAAGAAUGGCAAAAAUCAAAGAGCAAAAAUCCAAGUGCAGAGGCUCAUCCGCGGUGCGCGUGGCUGGCACACGAAGCACGUCGGAGUGGCACAGACUAGCGGGUGCUCUGGAGAGAUGGUUUGAUAAAAACAUUUAAGACCAAACUUAUUUUUUCUUUCCUGAUGAAGGGUAUAUUUUCAGCUGGAAGAAGCUAGCAAGAGCUUAAGGAGGUUUGCUGCAAUAGUAGCAACAGAGGAAACAUACAGCUCUUUCUUGCAUCUAGAGAAUACCUCAAGCACCAGUAAAAGCUCAGCCUGCGUUGUCUGCCCAGAGACAUAGAAGUUAAUGUACAAAAAGAAGCAACAGUACUCACUACAGAAUUGAUUUCUCUUUUUGUGAGACGACUCUUCAAGUGGCAACACGUCAUCUGUGGGAAGACAUCCUGCCAAAAAGAGAACAAAAGAUACGUUGAGAAUGAGAAACUGGUUUGGACAGUGCCUGACUUUUGAGAUCACUGAACGACCUGAAAUUUAGAAUGAAAGCUCCCAAACUGAGACAGUUAUUAAUCUGCGUUAGCAAGAGCAUGGUGUAACUUCAGCAUCUGAUUCAAUCCUACAGACGUGUGGAACUUCAGACCACUUCCAGGACUGGAAAUCUUCAUGGGCAGAAAAGAAAAAGUGAACAAGCUACAGAAGUCAGUCAUUUCAGCAUUAGCCCGGUAAGCUCAAUGGAUGAGAAAAGAAAUCACUUGCAUACAGUUUGCAUGGUGCUUUUCAGAUUAGCAGAAAUGUAAGGACUUCACCCUGGAGAUUUUAAAAUUAAAAUGAGUCAUGAUGAUCAGAAAAUAAAGAGGGGGAACGAAGGCAGAAAUGAAAAAGAGGUGGUAAACUCACACGAGGGCAUCAUUUACAUGAAAAAAUUUUGCCAUUUCAGCUUGUUUUCUUGCAAGUACAAGAUGUUCUAGAUGCAGAAGAGCUUGCAAAGGCCACAGGUUAUUUGGCACCGAAAACAAGUGAGGACAAUUUUAAGCUGUGUAUCAGGAAAAUUAAAUUAAAAACACCAACUGGGAGGAACUCCAGCUUCAAACAAUUUUUGCUUCUUAUCUUGACUGGUGCUGGCACCUUGCCCUCUCCUGAGUGAACCCUGACAAUUUCUAAAGUAACGAACCAAAGUCAUCUCACAAGAUUUCGUCAAACACCCUGUAGAAUCACAGGUCCAGCUGACAGCUAAGGAGGACCAGAUCAUGCUCUUACCUUUAGCACACAAAGGUAAAAAUUCCAGCAUGACAAGAUAACGUUCACUUGUGCACAUACCACCCUUGGACACACCAUUUUGCUUAGCUGGAAGAGUAGCUUCCUCUGUCCUUCCUAAAGUGUUGUGACACCUACUCGUGAAUCAGAAGCCACAGAUAAACACAGCUCUUGAUCUGCGACCCUCUCCAGAUCCCUCCUGCUGCUUUGCCUGGUGUCACUGUGGACACCACCACACUGUGUGUAACCUGGCCUCAUCUUCGGCCUGAGUUAGAUUCGCCCCUUCAGCUACUUUUAAGGCUGGAAGUUUGUUUUCCUUUUAAUAUUUGUAAAAUACAGCCUUUCAUAAACAUAGAGGUAAGGCUUGGUUUCAGACUCCCACCCUCUAUUCGUGGUUCUUGCUGUGCCCAUAUCUUGAUAGAAAUUAUCCUUCCCUGUUUGCUCAUUAUGAAGGUUGCUGCCAGGAUCAUUUUCCAUGCUCGUUCCCUCUUUAUUUUCCCUUUGCUGGCUCUGGCUUCUCUACUGCACAGAUUCUCUGCUGCGAACGAAAGUGAUUUGUCUUCACAUUCAAGGUUCAUUAUAAUUUACUCCCUACUUACUAUGUCUCAUUUACUACUGGAGAUUGACUUUGUCCUCUGAUUACUGCACAGUGCCAGUUUCAGGCGCCCACAUACGACAUAGUUAAAUGUAGCUGACCAUUUAUUGCUCCUGAUUUUCAUUCUCCUCUGCGUCUUUGGCAGAGGGGAGUACACAGAUGGUAGUGGGAGAUUCGUGCUAAGGCAGUAAACCCCUUGGAGUGGACACUAUCUUUUGUUACAGGUUUGAGAAGGGAUUUGCACAAAGUAGCCACAGUCCUUCCAAGCAAAUGCCAUGCAAAUAAGUAACAGUGAAAUAAAGGAGAAUAACAGACAUAUAAUAUGUAUAUACUUCCUUAAUAGCAUUGUUCUAUGUAAAAUAGUACCCUGGAGACAUUAUGUACUGAAAAAUGAAAUAUGGACCAUAGGGCUACAAAUGGGAGUAGGGGGAAUUGCAAAGAUGUCUCUAACCAAAAGGAGGCCUGCAGCAUGAAAACGUUUGAGAAUGUCUGCAAUAUAUUAAGCCAUUAACCUAUUUUAGGCAAUCAUGGUCUUACAGCUUCUUGAGCCAACAGGAGUCCUUCUAUUAAUUUCAGUACAGAUUGGAUGACAAACACUUAUGCGUUCAUUUUCUUUGAGGAGUUUUGAAAAUGACAUAUUGCAGAACAAAAGGCAAACCAAAAUCUUUUCUCCAAAUGUUUGUCAGCAGUCUGUUUUAUGAGAGUAUGAAGGUAGAACUCAAAUUAACACACUUGAUAUAGUGCAUCAAGCAAGGCUUUCUGAGAUAAUAACAGAUGAAUUCUCAAACACCAGACACAGGUGACAAGCUAAGAAGCCCAGCACAUCAUGUAUAAGAUAUAAAUGGAUCCAUCUGUCAACAGUUACUUUAUAAGUGAAUUGCUCUCAAUUAUGUUAGAAACAACAUUUAAUGAAAUACAAUUUUAAAAUACUACACAGAGGAAAAAAAUGUGCAAAGUAAAUUCCUGAUACAACGAAAAUUGAAAGGAAUGACAGAUUCUGCUAUUAUAAUUGGCAAACAGAAUAGAGGAUUUUGAUAGAGGUGACAAUAGGACAGCUCUUGGGGUAUCAUUUGGCUGGGAUAGCAAUCUUCUGAUCAUAUGUCCAACCUGUCUUCAGAGGUCAUUUUCAAGGUGCAUGUUCAGAUGAGAAAUAGUAGUGUUAUAUGACAAUUUCACUGAUGGCUGCAAAGAAGUGUUCAUUACGUUGCUGCCUUGCCACAUGAGGAGGGACCGGUCAUGUAUCAAAUGGUGGAAUAGGUGUCAAUGAAAAACAAGUUUAGGUAUUCUGCAUUUCAAUCCUUCAUUCAAUCCACAUGCAGUCCUUUCUCCUAUGCCAAGAAGUCAAUGAACCAAUAUUAAGUGGAAGACGAACAAUAGGGUUUUUGUUUUUCAUUAUCUUCUGGGUUUUGGAUGUUUUUCCUUGAACAUUUAUUAUGUCAGUCAUCAUGAGAGUCUAGUUUGGAGAAAGCACCCCAUUUUAGAAGGGAAGCUCUAGAUACACCUAGCUUUAACAGCGUUACAGAUCUCAAACCACCAAAGAAAAUGGAAUUGAUAGGGAAAAUCUAAACUGUCUUUAAGAAUCAACAAAUUAUUCUGAGAUUGGAAAUGUUUAAAUUGCAAACAUAUAUACACUUCCUGAUCUUACUACAGGGUGGAAUAAAAGUUGUUUAGGUGCCUCAUCUGUGACUUACCACAUAAUAACAAACAUGUUUGUGGAUAUACUUUAACUUACAUCAUUUAGGAACUUCCUAGGAGUAUGUUUGGACAAUAAACAUAAUGUGUUUUCUACCGAGUUAACGAUGCAUCCUCUCAAACUGAAUCUCAUCCUCAUACAGCUUUUACCUUGGUAUGAUAGAGACAGAUUGUGCAUGUUGCCCCAUAUUGACUGAAGUUAUAUCAGGGUGUGUGACAUAUUUUUGCAAGUUAUAUCUUAAAAUAUUCUUCCCAUAGCCCAGCAAUGGAAGCACACCAUAUUUUUCUGAAAUGCAGGCACCAGUGCGUUGUAGUCUUACAGACAAAAUUUACUAAUGUUGAAUUUAAAGUUAUUAGAAAUACCAUUGCUUUCACAAGUACACAAACAUUGAAUUAAUUACUAAAUCUAUCUGAGAUCAGCCAAAUUAUGAGUAGCACUUCAGUGACUGAUUUGCCUUGGAAGUUCACGUUUACAAAUUAUAUUCACCAAUAAAAUAGGCUUAGGUAUGACACAGAAGUUACUUCUAUUACUCAUGAAAUAUUUUCUACUUUGCUUUUUGUUCUUGGGAAUGCUAUGCACCAAACGAUAUAUUUCCCGUAUGAGAUGGCUUUCCUGAAACAUCUGAUGCCAGAAAGUUUGUGUGGAACUUGCAAUGAUGGAUGAAUUUUUGACAGGUAAUUGCAAUUCAGAUCAGAUGCAGACAGAUUUAGUACCUAGAAGCUCCCAGUUUAUUAAAAUCACCAUUGAUUUAUUUAAGCACCCCCUCCUCUUUUCACCACCAUUCAGAAAUUAAUCACUUGGGUAUGGUGUUCAGGGCUCAUCCAGCUGCUCAUAAUAUGAAAUGCAUCAGUUUAGCCUAACUUCAUCUAUCUAUCAGCACUUUUGAAGUAUUCAUCACCACAGUAUCUAGGUACCACCAAAACCAGCAUGUAAAAUUAGUAUAAACCUUUCGUAAAAGCUGAAAGAAACGCUAAGAUUCAUUAGUUACACGGUUUCAACUCUUCAGCCUUACUAAAGCAAGUUAAGUGUCACCACUAACCAUUUCAUCUAUGAAAACUAUAUUUUUCUUACACAGUAGUGGAAAAGAUUGAAAAGCAUCACUGGUUUGGUCCCAGCCAGUACCACUUCUUCCUGUUUGUAAUGUAUUAAAAAUUCAUUACUGAA